RNAcentral lists this long non-coding RNA (3026 nucleotides) under Arabidopsis lyrata. RNAcentral describes it as "long non-coding RNA (ALYR_LNC003159)". The record is from RNAcentral. Lineage: Eukaryota; Viridiplantae; Streptophyta; Magnoliopsida; Brassicales; Brassicaceae.
UCAAAACAUAAUAAUCGAGGCUAGAGAAGGCAAAGAAUGUAUAGGAAAAUGUUAUAGAUCCCUUACUCGUUCUCUUUCGAUGAUAGAUUCAGAAGAAAGAGCCAACAAAGAAUGCAUAGACCAUAAUGGACUUAGUAGCAAAUGUUCUCCUAAUACUUCCCCUUCUGUGAUUGAUUCAGAAGAAGAAGUAGUACUCAACGAAGAAUAUAUGGAUGGUACUAAAGAACAUAAAAGAAAAUGUCAUUGCAAAUGUCGUAAACAUAAAUCUCCAACUCAUUCACCUUCAAUGAUAGAUUCAGAAGCAGGUGUCAACAAAAACCAUAAAAAAAAAUGUCAUUGCAAAUGUCAUAAAGCUAAAACUCCUAAAUGAAUAUUAUAUUUAAAAUAGAUGUAACUCUUAAAUAUAUUUUCUUCAUAUAAUUAAUAUUAAUAAAAUGAUAUAUUCUCUAUUUUUGUUUGAUAGUGAUGGAAUCAAUUUCCAAAUGACAAUUCUUAAUCUUAUAACAUUAAAUCAUUCAAAUUUUUCGAAGUGUAUGAACGACCUCUAGAAAAGAAUGUGGGAUCCAAAAACCAAAAAAUUGGUUUAGACACAUGACAAUUGUGUGAGUGUUUCUGCACAGAUAAAUUGGAUGAUAAAUCAAGUCGGUUUUGAGGAGGAUUUCAACAAGACUCGAGCUUCACCAUGAGAGAUAACGCCCCGAUCGUCACUUAUCUUAGUGGAUCCCAUGUCCUCUCUCGGCCCAUGGGCCCUCCCGUUCUGACGGCCGGUCCGCUACGUCCGGGAGGGUUUAAAGACUUGUUUACCGAUCCUACAAAUCACCACAUUAUCAUUCCCUGUGUUUUGUCCUCACUCACACAGUUCCGACAAUCAGUUUCCGAAAGGUCACCCAUCCUGAAAUUGCUCUAGUUCAAGCACCAAUAACAUUGGAGUUCUCUAAGGACAGUUGAUCGAAAAGAUAAGUACACUUUGGUGACAUAGGUGGCCAAGUCAAUUCUUUUAAAUCUCUCCGCAUGCACCACCAUAUUUUUGAAACCACAGUGUUACAAUUCACCCCCACUAACAGACCGCAAUGUCCUCGUUGCACACCAAGACCGUCACUCCGACGGUGUGAGCCCUCUUGACUCCACACUCAUCAGAGUUCGGCUCUGAUACCAUUUAUAACGCCCCGACCGUCACUUCUCUUAGUAGGCCCCACGUCUCCUCUCUGCUCGUGGGCCCACCCGUGUAUGACUGUCGGUCUGCUACGUCCGAGAGGCUUGAAAGACUUGUUUAUCGACCCUACAAAUCACCACAUGAUCUUUACCUUUGUUUUUUCCUCACUCACACAGUUCCGACAAUCACUUCCCGAAAAAUCACCCAUCCUGAAAUUGUUCCAGUUCAAGCACCCUUAACUUUGGAGUUCUCUCAGGAAAGUUGACCGAAAAGAUAAGUGCACUUUGGUAACAUAGAUGGCCAAGUCAAUUCUUUUAAACCUCUUGGCAUGCACCACCAUAUUCCUGAAACUGGGGUAUUACAAGAGAGUUGACUAUUUGGAAUAUUUUGUUUAUGAUAUAGUUGAACCUCAUGGAAGUUGCUUACGCACCCAUGUAAAAGGAUCAAGCAUUCAAAAUUCAUACUAAAAAAGUUUUCUAGGUUUUUGUGUGAGAGAUUUCAUCCAAAGAGAUGCUUCUCUCUUUAUAUGAACAUGUAGUCAGUUUCGAGAUAUGUACAACUUCCUUAUUUAUCGAACAUAGAUAUGUAUCUUUUCCUCUUUCUUGGAUUCUUAACUUAUCUUCUUAGAAGAUAAAGGAAAAUCUUCUUAACUUAUCAUAAGACUCAUAACUGAAAAUAAAGUCUUCUCUAUAUUAGACAAAAGGAGUUAUAACUGAAAAACAAAAUCUGUUCUAUAUUGAUAAAAUCUAAUAUUUUCAAUAAAUUAAAAAUAAAACUGUUUAAAUAAAGUAAUGCCCAAAUCCCAAUAGGAUACUAUAGCUCUGAUUUUAUUAUUUUCAAAAUCUGUGAAUUUAUUAUAAUAAUUGUAUUUGUGAAAAGUAAUUGUAUUUUUGAAAAAAUAGACUUUGUAUCUUGGAUCAUUGAAUGAGUGUCAUAAUUAAAAAUAAAAAAUCUAGAUAUAUACAAAAUCUGAAAUUUAAAGUACUUUAAAAAAAAUUGUUUUUCCAUCCCAUAUAUAAAUGGACUCAAGACUAGCUAAUUCUCUCACAAUCCAUACUCAUCAAGCAUCCAAAUACAAACAUUGUUUAGCUAUGACCAACAUUUACGUUAGGACCGCUUUUCUUCUCUCCCUCUUGUUGUCCUUCUCUCGUAAGUAAAUGUGAAUUUUCAUUGGUAAUUCAUAAAUUGGUGAAAACGGUUCCAAGAUUUUGCAUAAUUUAACCAAUUAUGCAAAUUGUGGAAUUGUAAUUUAUAUUUAGCCGUUUGUGAUCGAUUUUGUCGUUUCUAAGUUAAAUUCAAAUGAUUUUUUGCAUCAUCUAUGUUUCCAUUAUAUUCAUGAACUUAAAUGCUUUGGGAUUAUUCUAUGUUACGAUGUUACCAACCUUAUACAAAUUUGACAUUUUUCUUUUUUUCUUUAAAUAAAUUGAAGAUCAAAGCAUAAUAAUCGAGGCCAGGGGAGGCAAAGGAUGUAUAGGCAUAUGUUAUAGAUCUCCUACUCCUUCUCCUUCGAUGAUAGAUUCAGAAGAAGGAACCAACAAAGAAUGCAUGGACCAUAAAGGAGUUGGCAGCAAAUGUUCUCCUAAUCCUUCCCCUUCAAUGAUAGAUUCAGAAGAAGAAGUCAACCAAGAAUAUUGGAACAUUGAAGAACAUGAAAGCAAAUGUCAUUGCAAGUGUCCUAAACAUAAACCUCCUACUCCUUCACCUUCAAUGAUAGAUUUAGAUGAAGAAGUCAACCAAGAAUAUAUGGACAUUGAAGAACAUAACAACAAAUGUCAUUGCAAGUGUCAUAAACAUAAACCUCCUACUCCUUCACCUUCAAUGAUAGAUUCAGAAGAAGAAGUCAACCAAGAAUAUUGGGACGUCGAAGAACAUA